RNAcentral lists this transfer RNA (82 nucleotides) under Streptomyces sp. ADI96-02. RNAcentral describes it as "tRNA-Ala". Lineage: Bacteria; Bacillati; Actinomycetota; Actinomycetes; Kitasatosporales; Streptomycetaceae. The record is from RNAcentral.
GUCGUCCUGCACGACGCGGCCGACGCGGCGCCCCUGGCACGGGCGCUGGUCGCCGGCGGUCUUCCGGCGAUCGAGGUCACGC